Molecule: RNA transcript, 1201 nt
Organism: Lontra canadensis (Northern American river otter)
Lineage: Eukaryota; Metazoa; Chordata; Mammalia; Carnivora; Mustelidae
Gene: NDUFAF5
Gene name: NADH:ubiquinone oxidoreductase complex assembly factor 5
Exons: 9
Source: RefSeq, a predicted model, not a curated record
CGCCUCCGGCGUUUCUUCCCCGGGCAGCACCUCGCCCAGAGCCCUAAAUAUCUUCGAUCGGGAUUUGAAGAGGAAACAGAAAAACUGGGCUGCCCGGCAGCCUGAGCCGAUGAAGUUCGACUACCUGAAGGAGGAGGUUGGAAGUCGGAUCGCAGACCGUGUGUAUGACAUCGCCAGAAAUUUUUCCCUUGCUUUGGAUGUUGGCUGUGGAAGAGGAUACAUAGCACAACAUUUGAACAAGAAAAGUAUCUUAGAAAUGGAAAUUCCUACUGUCAGCAUUUUAGCUGAUGAAGAGUUCCUUCCCUUCAGAGAAAAUACAUUUGACUUGGUGGUUAGCAGUUUAAGUUUACACUGGGUGAAUGACCUUCCUAGAGCGCUUGAACAGAUUCAUUACGUUUUAAAACCAGAUGGAGUAUUUAUUGGUGCAAUGUUUGGAGGUGACACACUCUAUGAACUUCGGUGUUCACUACAGUUGGCAGAAACAGAAAGGGAAGGAGGAUUUUCUCCACAUGUUUCUCCUUUCACUGCUGUCAAUGACUUAGGACAUCUGCUUGGGAGAGCUGGCUUUAAUACACUGACUGUGGAUACUGAUGAAAUUCAAGUUAACUAUCCUGGGAUGUUUGAAUUGAUGGAAGAUUUACAAGGUAUGGGUGAGAGUAACUGUGCUUGGAAUAGAAAAGGCCUGCUGCACCGAGACACGAUGCUGGCAGCCGCAGCGGUGUACAGAGGUAAGCGAGAGGGCCGUCUUUCCCACCCUCGCCUCACUGAGGAACGUGUGCCCUGCCGGGUUUAUCCCUUAAAGUUGUCAGUACUUUUUCCUUUCCCGUUGAGGCAUCAGAUUUUUUGUCCUUCCUUUCAGAACACAGAUCUUGUAGUUCCAUAUCCUUUUUCCAAACAGCCCUUAACUGGUAUUUCUGUCAGCUUCUCAGCGUUGUGGAUUUUUCAUGUAAGGCAUUCUCAAAGUCCUCCAAAUAUCCCAAUAUCCAUUUCUCUUCGGAGACAUGACUUUUACUGAACAGAUUUUUUUCCUCCUACUUCCAUUUUUUUCAGAUUGUAACCAUUAUUUGUCUUUAUAGAAAUGUACAAAAAUGAGGAUGGUUCAGUACCUGCCACAUAUCAGAUCUAUUACAUGAUAGGAUGGAAAUACCACGAUUCACAGGCAAGACCAGCUGAAAGAGGUUCGGCCACUGUGUCAUUUGGA